GAUAUGGUGCUGGAGGAUAUGCUGAUGGUGGUGGAUAUGGUUGAGUAGGAUAUGCAGCUGAAUGAGGGGGCGGGUAUGGAGCAGGUGGAUAGACUGCAGAAUCAUGAGGAUAUGAAGGAUAGGAUGGCGUAGGGUAAGCUGAGGCUGGUGGUGGGUAAGGAGCUGCUGCAGCUGGUGGUGGGUAAGGAGCUGCUGAGGUUGGUGGUGGGUAAGGAGCUGCUGAGGUUGGUGGUGGGUAAGGAGCUGCUGAGGUUGGUUGAGGGUAAUAAGCUGAUGGAGGGUACGAGGCUGGUCGCAGGUAAGAGUAUGCAGAUGGUUCUGGUACAGGCGAUGCUGCAUAUGGUGGGACUGAUGGGGCAUAAUUCUUUGGUGGCUUCUGUGACUGCACAAGAAUUCAACAAUUACAUCGCUUCAGUUAUAGAUUAAUCUUCAAG
RNAcentral lists this long non-coding RNA (434 nucleotides) under Panax ginseng (ginseng). Its description in RNAcentral is "long non-coding RNA (PGIN_LNC018412)". Lineage: Eukaryota; Viridiplantae; Streptophyta; Magnoliopsida; Apiales; Araliaceae. The record is from RNAcentral.